RNAcentral lists this ribosomal RNA (481 nucleotides) under uncultured bacterium. RNAcentral's name for it is "partial 16S ribosomal RNA". It matches the Rfam family "Bacterial small subunit ribosomal RNA", at positions 28 to 507 of the family's 1533-position model. The record is from RNAcentral.
GAUGAACGCUGGCGGCGUGCUUAACACAUGCAAGUCGAACGAAGCACUUUAUUUGAUUUCCUUCGGGACUGAUUAUUUUGUGACUGAGUGGCGGACGGGUGAGUAACGCGUGGGUAACCUGCCUUGUACAGGGGGAUAACAGUUGGAAACGGCUGCUAAUACCGCAUAAGCGCACGGCAUCGCAUGAUGCAGUGUGAAAAACUCCGGUGGUAUAAGAUGGACCCGCGUUGGAUUAGCUAGUUGGUGAGGUAACGGCCCACCAAGGCGACGAUCCAUAGCCGACCUGAGAGGGUGACCGGCCACAUUGGGACUGAGACACGGCCCAAACUCCUACGGGAGGCAGCAGUGGGGAAUAUUGCAAAAUGGGCGAAAGCCUGAUGCAGCGACGCCGCGUGAGCGAAGAAGUAUUUCGGUAUGUAAAGCUCUAUCAGCAGGGAAGAUAAUGACGGUACCUGACGAAGAAGCACCGGCUAAAUACGUG